This 459-nucleotide ribosomal RNA is filed under the name Photobacterium pectinilyticum. Its description in RNAcentral is "partial 23S ribosomal RNA". It matches the Rfam family "Bacterial large subunit ribosomal RNA", at positions 593 to 1053 of the family's 2925-position model. The record is from RNAcentral. Lineage: Bacteria; Pseudomonadati; Pseudomonadota; Gammaproteobacteria; Vibrionales; Vibrionaceae.
GUGACUGCGUACCUUUUGUAUAAUGGGUCAGCGACUUAAUUUUAGUAGCAAGGUUAACCGAUUAGGGGAGCCGUAGGGAAACCGAGUCUUAACUGGGCGUACAGUUGCUAGGAUUAGACCCGAAACCAGGUGAUCUAGCCAUGGGCAGGUUGAAGGUGAGGUAACACUUACUGGAGGACCGAACCGACUAAUGUUGAAAAAUUAGCGGAUGACUUGUGGCUAGGGGUGAAAGGCCAAUCAAACCUGGAGAUAGCUGGUUCUCCCCGAAAGCUAUUUAGGUAGCGCCUCGGACGAAUACUACUGGGGGUAGAGCACUGUUAAGGCUAGGGGGUCAUCCCGACUUACCAACCCUUUGCAAACUCCGAAUACCAGUAAGUACUAUCCGGGAGACACACGGCGGGUGCUAACGUCCGUCGUGGAGAGGGAAACAACCCAGACCGCCAGCUAAGGUCCCAAAGU